UCAGUCAAGUGUCCACCUUACUAAUAUGUGAAAAUCUCAAGUGUGGCAUACAGCUUCUGAAUAUUAGCAACUUUCUGGUUUAGCAGUGACACUGAUGUUAAUACAUUGAGCUUAAAUAUGGGAAUAAAGAAAAAUUAUUAUACUCCAAAAAGGGUGUGUGAUUUUAAAUGCGUAACUAAUAUUUUAUAAUAUUGCUCUAUGAAGCAUAGAUCACAACCUCAAAAUUAGAAUUCAGACACAGCAGUAAGAUUUCUAACAAUCCCUAUGAGGUCCAAAAACAAAAUUGGAAUCUGCCUUUCUUUUCCUAGGCUUUUUCAUUCCAUCCUACUGCUUUCUACAUCUGUGUGCGAAGAGAUCAUGCCUGCCAAGAACACACUCAGAAUUCCUCUGCUAACAGAUACUUGUAAAAAUAAAACUUCUUUAAAGGCAUGAAGAGAUGAAACAGCACGUUCUAAAGGCUGUGAAGAUCUCGACAUGGUUUUCAUUUGUCUGGGGCCCUGGCAGCCGUGUGACUUGUGCUUGAAUGUCUCAGAUCCUGGAUGCACAGACAGCUCUCAGUUCCAAGGCUGAUGAAGAACAAUUUACAUGAUUUCAUCUACGGCUUUUUAGUGCUACUUCGGGAAUAUAGAAAGUUCACUGAUAUGAGUAUGUAACAAUAUAAGUGUCUUCAGCAAUUGUUUAUGAGAGUCACAUAAAAGUGCUUCACUUGAAGGGUGUUGUAAAUUAUUGAAUCUAUUUAUACAGAGAGAUAAAUUGUGACUACCAAAAAUAAAACUCUGUGGUAAUGCAGAAAAAGACAUGUUUAAAAGUCUAAGCGAAUGUGCCUUUAUUAGAGGUCUUCAAUAUCAGGUGUGAUUCCAACCUUGGAUUUUACAGGUCUACAUAAUUUUAUUUUCUAAGUGUUGAGGAGCUAACUCAGUGUGGUUGAAAACAUUAAUGUACAUUUUGUGAUAGUGGUUCCUUCCUGGAAAGUCAUAAAACCCAAAGUGUUUCUCUUGA
This is a long non-coding RNA of Phyllostomus discolor (pale spear-nosed bat), 999 nucleotides long. RefSeq lists it as uncharacterized. The record is from RefSeq and is a predicted model, not a curated record. The transcript is spliced from 2 exons. Lineage: Eukaryota; Metazoa; Chordata; Mammalia; Chiroptera; Phyllostomidae.